GAGUUUGAUCCUGGCUCAGGAUGAACGCUGGCGGCGUGCUUAACACGUGCAAGUCGAACGAAGCAAGAAGCGAAGCGCAAGCAGAGGUUCUUGACUGAGUGGCGGACGGGUGAGUAACGCGUGGAUAACCUGCCUUUCACAGGGGGAUAACAGCUGGAAACGGCUGCUAAUACCGCAUGAGCCUCUUUUAUCGCAUGAGGAGAGAGGGAAAGAGAAAUCGGUGAGAGAUGGAUCCGCGUCCGAUUAGCUAGUUGGAGGGGUAACAGCCCACCAAGGCGACGAUCGGUAGCCGACCUGAGAGGGUGGACGGCCACAUUGGGACUGAGACACGGCCCAAACUCCUACGGGAGGCAGCAGUGGGGAAUAUUGCACAAUGGGGGAAACCCUGAUGCAGCAACGCCGCGUGAGUGAGGAAGUAUUUCGGUAUGUAAAGCUCUAUCAGCAGGGAAUAGAAAAGAAGGUACCUGAAAAAGAAGCCCCGGCUAACUACGUGCCAGCAGCCGCGGUAAUACGUAGGGGGCAAGCGUUAUCCGGAUUUACUGGGUGUAAAGGGAGCGUAGACGGAAAGGCAAGUCAGAAGUGAAAGCCCAAGGCUCAACCAUGGGACUGCUUUUGAAACUGUCAAACUAGAGUACGGGAGAGGUAAGAGGAAUUCCUAGUGUAGCGGUGAAAUGCGUAGAUAUUANGAGGAACACCAGUGGCGAAGGCGUCUUACUGGACCGAAACUGACGUUGAGGCUCGAAAGCGUGGGGAGCAAACAGGAUUAGAUACCCUGGUAGUCCA
RNAcentral lists this ribosomal RNA (783 nucleotides) under uncultured bacterium. Its description in RNAcentral is "bacterial SSU rRNA". It matches the Rfam family "Bacterial small subunit ribosomal RNA", at positions 9 to 797 of the family's 1533-position model. The record is from RNAcentral.